UGAACGUCAGGGCGGGCGGAGGACCCGGCGCUGGGUGCUAAUUCCAGCCCUUUCUUGGCGGCUGCAUUUAAUCCCUGCCCUUCUUCUUCUUUAGCGACGCCAGUUCUCGGAGCAGAGAGGCUGGAAACAACUGCGGAGGACUCCGUCCCUGCCUCUGUUACACGCAUCUACCACUUCGCCACCUUCCGCACUUGGGGCCCCUCUCCUUGAUUAGGACCAAGUUAACACAGAGCCAGAGAAAGGACUGUGGGUUCCCUUAGCGUGUUUCAACAUCAUUGACUCCCUACGUUUUGGUCAG
RNAcentral lists this long non-coding RNA (298 nucleotides) under Marmota monax (woodchuck). The record is from RNAcentral. Lineage: Eukaryota; Metazoa; Chordata; Mammalia; Rodentia; Sciuridae.